Long non-coding RNA from Culex quinquefasciatus (southern house mosquito), 730 nucleotides. RefSeq lists it as uncharacterized. The record is from RefSeq and is a predicted model, not a curated record. Lineage: Eukaryota; Metazoa; Arthropoda; Insecta; Diptera; Culicidae. The transcript is spliced from 4 exons.
UUUUGUUUUGCUUUGAAAAUGCAAGUUUGCAGUUGCUGCAGAAAAUUUGGAAUUUCAAGCAGGAUUUACCCACUUGUGUUGCAUGCGCCCGGAAAACGUCGAAAAGAGCGCUCACUCCCGUCAAAUUGAUGUGCUUCAAGCUGGUCGAUGACUGGAACUCCUUGGAUCAAACCGUUCCGACAAUCCCCAGCUUACCGGUCCCGCAGCAACCGGAACUGCCACUUUCGGACGGUGGCGGCAUCUCGAAACAAGAAAAUCAUCCGGAUUAAGUGAAACCUUAGGAGAGCUUCAAAAAGGUGCUGGAGAUGAAGCUGCACCAAUCAUCCGGAGCGAGGAGUCGUCCCGGGUAAUUCAACAAAAUCCACCCGUCGUACCACGGAAUCCCCCGUAACUCGCUUACCAGCAUCAUUUCCCGGCUAAGUGCGAUUGAAUUGAUGUGGCUACGGAUCAAAGAAGCGCUUCUUCGAAAAAAGCGGUGGAGCUUCACCUUCACCUUCAAGUUUAACCGACCCGGAAGCAACUCGUCCAACUGCAAUAUUUGAUCAUCCUUUCCGGAGCUUGAGCCUGCACCAACGAUAAGAUUAUGCUGAGGAUCUUCAGCUCUAGCACCCAGCGACACAUGAUGACCAACACCGCAUUUCAGGGUCAUUUGCGCCUUCCACAACACCAUGAGAGCGUUCGAGCUAGCUGGCUGCGCUGAACGCCCACAAAAUAAUCAUUAAGUUUUAAA